RNAcentral lists this small nuclear RNA (138 nucleotides) under Colletotrichum higginsianum. RNAcentral's name for it is "U1 spliceosomal RNA". Lineage: Eukaryota; Fungi; Ascomycota; Sordariomycetes; Glomerellales; Glomerellaceae. The record is from RNAcentral.
AUACUUACCUACCUGAUGGCCCGGAGAUCAAGAGCCCCGGGUUGUGGAUGAGAGGGGCCUGCAUUGCACACCUGCGGCCGUGCCUCUCGCCGUAUGGGGCCCUUCUUGGGAACCGUACAAGGUCUAAUUUUUGAUGUC